Molecule: long non-coding RNA, 1128 nt
Organism: Mangifera indica (mango)
Lineage: Eukaryota; Viridiplantae; Streptophyta; Magnoliopsida; Sapindales; Anacardiaceae
Exons: 2
Source: RefSeq, a predicted model, not a curated record
UUCCAUAAAUAAAAAUCUAACAAAGAAAAUAAAGUCUUUGUUGAAUCUUUUAAUUAUUUUUUCUAUUAUCUUGAAUUCUGAUCUCUUUUGGCUGGAACUAUGAUUAAUUACAUUAUUAGUAAAUUAAGUUGCAUCCUUUUUUGUAUUAGUUAUGGGCUUGAUAUCAAUAUGGAUAGAGUGGAAGACGUUUUGUUGCAUCAAAAUCUUCUCACACUUGCAAAGGAUCCAGAGAAGCGGCCUGUUUAUCAUACCCGAUUCAUGGAGGCAGUACAUUUUGUUCUGCUGGAUGGUAUAUCCGCUUUAUGUCCACUUCUAUUGUUGUUCAUUGUGAGAGUCAAAAAGCAAUUCACUUGACAAAAGAUCAAAUGUAUUAUGAGAGAUCUAAGCAUAUAGAUGUCAGGUAUCAUUUUGUAUAGGAUAUUUUUACUAAAGGCAACAAUUCUGCAAAGAAGAUUAGUAUUCAAUCACCAAGUUCAAGCAUUGAGACAUGCCCUUAGGGGACUUGCUUGAACUCUGUCGGUAUUUAGUAUUGAGACAUGCCCUAAGGGGAUUUUGUUGAAGAUGUGGAGAAUUAUGUUAAAGACUGAAGUUGUUUGGGUUCGCGUUUGCAAAAUUCGUGUCCAAGUGGAGAUUCUUGGAUAUGAUGAUUCAAAUUCAAGGUAGGUGCUCCACAUAAAUUUUAGUGUACUUUUUCUUUUUGCCCUAUUUGUUGAUUGUUUGCUUUCAGUACAAAUUACUUGAGUUUCCACGUAACAUUCACUUGUUUUAUUAUGUGUAUUUGUUUGAAAAUUAAGAGCAAAUAGAGAUAGCAAAUUUGAAAUGACCGGGAGAGCUUUUGAAUUCGGAGGACAUAAAUAAGAUGGAGUCAAUUUGGAGGAGGUCCUCAUGUGCCCUGCAAAAGAGCAUGCCCAAUUACAAAUACUUGUUGUGAUGUAUAAUAUAGUCAGGACAUUUAGAUGGAGAAAUUAAUCCUAGAUGAACCAUUAAUCAGUGGCCUCAUUUUAUUUUUGGAGCCUGAGAUAUCAUAUUAAAUUAAAGUUUAUGAAUGUGUAUUGGCUUUGUUUUAUGUAUGUUCUACUUGGAAUCAUUUUUAAUUGAAUUAUGAAGAAUUGUUCUCAUGUAAUUGAA